Molecule: ribosomal RNA, 253 nt
Filed under: uncultured bacterium
Lineage: Bacteria
Description: partial 16S ribosomal RNA
Rfam family: Bacterial small subunit ribosomal RNA
Source: RNAcentral
GACGUAGGGCGCGAGCGUUGUCCGGAUUUAUUGGGCGUAAAGAGCUCGUAGGCGGCUUGUCGCGUCGACUGUGAAAUCCCGAGGCUCAACUUCGGGCUUGCAGUCGAUACGGGCAGGCUAGAGUUCGGUAGGGGAGACUGGAAUUCCUGGUGUAGCGGUGAAAUGCGCAGAUAUCAGGAGGAACACCGGUGGCGAAGGCGGGUCUCUGGGCCGAUACUGACGCUGAGGAGCGAAAGCGUGGGGAGCGAACAGG